GGCUGUAGCUCAGUGGUAGAGUGCCUGCCUCUCACAUGUGAGGCACUGGGUUCGAUCCUCAGCACCA
RNAcentral lists this transfer RNA (67 nucleotides) under Marmota monax (woodchuck). RNAcentral describes it as "tRNA.Glu". The record is from RNAcentral. Lineage: Eukaryota; Metazoa; Chordata; Mammalia; Rodentia; Sciuridae.